GCCGCCCUGCGCUGGAUUCUGCGGCUCGCCCGGCUUCCCGCGCGGCGCGGGCGAUCGGGCGACGAGCUCGCGCGGUGCGUGUCCGCGGGCGUCGC
Molecule: transfer RNA, 95 nt
Filed under: Sorangium sp. So ce836
Lineage: Bacteria; Pseudomonadati; Myxococcota; Polyangiales; Polyangiaceae
Description: Sorangium sp. Soce836 tRNA-Gly
Source: RNAcentral